GACGAACGCUGGCGGCGUGCUUAACACAUGCAAGUCGAACGGAAAGGCCCUGCUUUUGUGGGGUGCUCGGGUGGCGACCGGGUGAGUAACACGUGAGUACCCUGCCAUUGACUUUGGGAUAACUUCAGGCAACUGGGGCUAAUACCGGAUAGGAGCUCCUGCUGCAUGGUGGGGGUUGGAAAGUUUCGGCGGUUGGGGAUGGACUCGCGGCCUAUCAGGUUGUUGGUGGGGUAGUGGCUUACCAUGGCUUGGACGGGUAGCCGGCCUGGUAGGGUAACAGGCCACACUACGACUGAGAUACGACACGGACUCCUACGGGAGGCAGCAGUGGAGAAUAGAGUACAAUGGGCUGGAGCCAGAUGCAGCAACGCCGCGUGGGGGAUGACGUCCUGCGGGUUGUGUCCCGCUGCCGCCUGAGACGAAACGUUAGUGACAGUAAUUGGAAAAUAAGCACCGGCUAACUACGUG
RNAcentral lists this ribosomal RNA (468 nucleotides) under uncultured bacterium. Its description in RNAcentral is "partial 16S ribosomal RNA". It matches the Rfam family "Bacterial small subunit ribosomal RNA", at positions 28 to 507 of the family's 1533-position model. The record is from RNAcentral.